Gracilinanus agilis (Agile Gracile Mouse Opossum) is the source of this 278-nucleotide long non-coding RNA. RefSeq lists it as uncharacterized. The record is from RefSeq and is a predicted model, not a curated record. The transcript has 3 exons. NCBI's taxonomy places the organism in Eukaryota, Metazoa, Chordata, Mammalia, Didelphimorphia, Didelphidae.
UCAGAUACAUGUUAUAAAACCUGUCUUACCAAAGCUCAACAGUUUAUUUGACUGUGCAGUGUCAGAGGAAGAAGCAUGUUGGCUCUUCCAUCCAUCCUGGCAUAUGUGUAUUUAUAAAAGAAUGUUUGAAAGUGAAAGCAAAACCCUGACCAAAGAAGGCAUUAUACACUUUUUGGAGCUCUAUGAAACAAAGAGUCUUCCAUGUGCACCAGGAUUUUCUGAGUUUAUUAUUGGACCACUAAUGGAAGCCCUUUCAGAAAGUUCUUUAUAUAGCAGGU